This 71-nucleotide transfer RNA is filed under the name Ictidomys tridecemlineatus (thirteen-lined ground squirrel). Its description in RNAcentral is "Spermophilus tridecemlineatus (thirteen-lined ground squirrel) tRNA". It matches the Rfam family "tRNA". Rfam says of the family: Transfer RNA (tRNA) molecules are approximately 80 nucleotides in length. Their secondary structure includes four short double-helical elements and three loops (D, anti-codon, and T loops). Further hydrogen bonds mediate the characteristic L-shaped molecular structure. tRNAs have two regions of fundamental functional importance: the anti-codon, which is responsible for specific mRNA codon recognition, and the 3' end, to which the tRNAs corresponding amino acid is attached (by aminoacyl-tRNA synthetases). tRNAs cope with the degeneracy of the genetic code in two manners: having more than one tRNA (with a specific anti-codon) for a particular amino acid; and 'wobble' base-pairing, i.e. permitting non-standard base-pairing at the 3rd anti-codon position. Lineage: Eukaryota; Metazoa; Chordata; Mammalia; Rodentia; Sciuridae. RNAcentral also lists the same sequence under 1 other name. The record is from Rfam by way of RNAcentral.
AGAGGUGGAGCUUGGCGAAGAGCACUUGCCUAGUGUGUGUGAGGCCCUGGGUUCAAUUCCCAGCACCACCA